Molecule: ribosomal RNA, 524 nt
Filed under: uncultured bacterium
Lineage: Bacteria
Description: partial 16S ribosomal RNA
Rfam family: Bacterial small subunit ribosomal RNA
Source: RNAcentral
GACGAACGCUGGCGGCGUGCCUAAUACAUGCAAGUCGAACGAAGCUGUUUUAACUGGUGCUUGCACCGACUUAAACAACUGAGUGGCGAACGGGUGAGUAACACGUGGGUAACCUGCCCCAAAGCGGGGGAUAACAUUUGGAAACAGAUGCUAAUACCGCAUAACCACAGAAACCACAUGGUUUCUGUGUCAAAGAUGGUUUCGGCUAUCACCUUGGGAUGGAUCCGCGGCGUAUUAGAUAGUUGGUAAGGUAAUGGCUUACCAAGGCAAUGAUACGUAGCCGAACUGAGAGGUUGAUCGGCCACAUUGGGACUGAGACACGGCCCAAACUCCUACGGGAGGCAGCAGUAGGGAAUCUUCCACAAUGGACGAAAGUCUGAUGGAGCGACGCCGCGUGAGUGAAGAAGGUUUUCGGAUCGUAAAACUCUGUUGUCAGAGAAGAACGUGUGCGAGAGUAACUGCUCGUGCAGUGACGGUAUCUGGCCAGAAAGCCACGGCUAACUACGUGCCAGCAGCCGCAGUAA